AUUGAACGCUGGCGGCAUGCUUUACACAUGCAAGUCGAACGGCAGCACGGGUGCUUGCACCUGGUGGCGAGUGGCGAACGGGUGAGUAAUGCAUCGGAACGUGCCUAUUAGUGGGGGAUAACGCUUCGAAAGGAGUGCUAAUACCGCAUAAUCUCUGAGGAGGAAAGCGGGGGACCUUAGGGCCUCGCGCUGAUAGAGCGGCCGAUGUCGGAUUAGCUAGUUGGUGAGGUAACGGCUCACCAAGGCGACGAUCCGUAGCGGGUCUGAGAGGAUGAUCCGCCACACUGGGACUGAGACACGGCCCAGACUCCUACGGGAGGCAGCAGUGGGGAAUUUUGGACAAUGGGCGCAAGCCUGAUCCAGCCAUGCCGCGUGAGUGAAGAAGGCCUCGGUUGUAAAGCUCUUUGUUCCGGAGCAAGUCCUACUGGCUAAUAUCUGUGGGAGUGAGAGUACUGGAAGAAUAAGACACCGGCGUAACUACG
This 482-nucleotide ribosomal RNA is filed under the name uncultured bacterium. Its description in RNAcentral is "bacterial SSU rRNA". It matches the Rfam family "Bacterial small subunit ribosomal RNA", at positions 30 to 505 of the family's 1533-position model. The record is from RNAcentral.